Molecule: ribosomal RNA, 497 nt
Filed under: uncultured bacterium
Lineage: Bacteria
Description: partial 16S ribosomal RNA
Rfam family: Bacterial small subunit ribosomal RNA
Source: RNAcentral
GAUGAACGCUGGCGGCGUGCCUAAUACAUGCAAGUCGAGCGAACGGACGAGAAGCUUGCUUCUCUGAUGUUAGCGGCGGACGGGUGAGUAACACGUGGAUAACCUACCUAUAAGACUGGGAUAACUUCGGGAAACCGGAGCUAAUACCGGAUAAUAUUUUGAACCGCAUGGUUCAAAAGUGAAAGACGGUCUUGCUGUCACUUAUAGAUGGAUCCGCGCUGCAUUAGCUAGUUGGUAAGGUAACGGCUUACCAAGGCAACGAUGCAUAGCCGACCUGAGGGGGUGAUCGGCCACACUGGAACUGAGACACGGUCCAGACUCCUACGGGAGGCAGCAGUAGGGAAUCUUCCGCAAUGGGCGAAGGCCUGACGGAGCAACGCCGCGUGAGUGAUGAAGGUCUUCGGAUCGUAAAACUCUGUUAUUAGGGAAGAACAUAUGUGUAAGUAACUGUGCACAUCUUGACGGUACCUAAUCAGAAAGCCACGGCUAACUACGUG